Molecule: long non-coding RNA, 2327 nt
Filed under: Arabidopsis thaliana (thale cress)
Lineage: Eukaryota; Viridiplantae; Streptophyta; Magnoliopsida; Brassicales; Brassicaceae
Description: long non-coding RNA (ATHA_LNC000151)
Source: RNAcentral
UGAAACCCAAGUAUUUUUCUUAAUUUUUUCCCUUAAUAUGGACCAUAUAUUUCGUAAUAUAUGAGAAUAUCUCAACAAUUAGAUUUUAUCUAAACUAACCAUAAAUACAUUGUUCUCUGACCACAAUAUGCAUAUACUUAUUCUAAAGCAAAUCUUACCAUAAUAUUUUCUCCAGAGUAACCGUAACCUCAAUUUCCGUUAGAACUUUUUUCAUUCAAUUCAGAUCCCGUUAUUUGCUCGCUUGAAUUACUCUAUAUACUCCAUUCUAAGUAACAAAUUUAUUGCCCCCGCCCAUAGUCAUCAAUCUGCAUUCAUUCACAGAGAUUUAAUCACUUCAAUAUCUUUAAAAAAUCUAUUUUCGGAAACAAAUUUAUGUCUACAAAAGAAUUAUAAUCAGGCAUAUACCAAAAUUCUAACAAAUCCAAAGAUUUUUGCCAUGAUUUGAUGCGGGUAGAAUAUUGUUUGCGUGUAGAGAGCUAGGGAUUCUUAACCUAAGUAAUACUCUAUAAAUACUCUUGUGUCUAACGUCUCAUAACAUCAUCAUCUACAACUCGCUAUUGCUAAUCCAUAAUACACCAAUUCAUAAUUCUUCUGCAUUCACCAUAGAAACCCUACCACUUUCUUAUACCACUAUAUAUACUUCUCAUACAUAGAGACUUUCGUCACCAAACUUGCAAACUACUUAUUCUAUAUCAAAGUUAAACUACUCUAAUGGUUGAUUCUUUGCCUACCUAGUCGAACAGCAAGUUCAAGUGAAAAUCACACACUCUUGGUAUGCACUAUUCUUUUUUUCUUUAUGUCUCGAAUUGCUAUAAUACAUUUGAUUUAUCAACUACUAAAUUCUGUAAUUUAUUUGGUCUGAAUUAUAUUAUAUGUAUAAACUUUCUGAUUUGAAAAUGUCAUUUUUUGUCAUAUGCCACUACACCUACCGAAGGAGCCAAAUUAGGACAGACGGUCUACCAAUUAGACACAACCUGACAACCUAUAUUCCUUCUACAAAUUAUAUAAAAAAAACAUUACAUGCUCAAGAAAAGCAUCUCAGUUUAGCUAUCACAAUCAUACAUAGUAUAUUCUAAUCUAAAUUAUUAAUUUUUAGAUGUUUCUACAUGUUUUUAGAUGUACUUAUUUCAUGAAAACCAAUUACUAAUUUUCCAGAUGAGGGUGAACCACUAUUCGAUUUUACACACUGAAGAAGACUAUCACACCGAAUCUGUAGAACCAGAAAAUACAGAUCAUGACAUUGCAUCCUCAAGUGCACGUGAGGAUUAUACCAAAGCCAUUACUAAUCGUUUUGCAAACGUCUUUAGCAAGCUAUCUAAAGUAAAUGUAUCAUCAAAACAUGAAUCUGUGUCGAGUACUAGAAAUGACAAUGGUAUAUUAAAUUUACGACACUAAAAAAGACUUAAGACUAACAACUAUUCAUAGUAUAACACAAACCGAAAUCUUAGAAGGUGAAACUGGCAUUUUCCAAAUCAUCAAUUGUUGUUCUAAAAAUUGAAAUUGAAGGACAUAAACAAUAGCAAGUCAAGAUGGAGAGUAGAAAAGUGACUGACUUUGAUGAGAUGGGGAGACUGGUCGAAGUCUUGAAGCUCUCUAGCGAGCAAACAUGACAACUGAGCAGCUUCCAAAGCCAUUACCCAAGCCCUGUGUUGGCGGGACGAAGUGUCAGAAGACUGGCGGGGAUUGGGUGAUUAUUCAUUAACAGCUAACCUCAAUAUAAUGCGUGCCUCUGUUAUGCUUCAACAGUGUAUUUAUGUGUAUUUAUAUAACUUUUUACGAGAUAUUUUCUCUUGUAUUUUUCAAAUUAGUUGUGAAGAAAUAGGGAAGUGAUGAUUUGCGCUAAAAAGUGGAUGCUGAAUCUCUCUAAUCUUCAAUACCACUUUGUUCAUUCCAUUUUCUUUUCUUUUUCAUUUGCAACUUGCAAGAAGUCAACGAUAAUAUCAAAGAUAUUGUUAAUCACAAAGAAACUUAUCUUCGGGUAUGGUUUGGACACACCGGGAAAAUGGGAGGGAAAUUGUUAGUGGAUCAUUUUACGGGUCACAUGAGCUGUUCUCUCUCUCUCACACGACGUGAGCUCUCUCUCUCUCUCUCUCUCCUCUCUCUCUCUCUUCGACUGUAGUUUUGGUCCGUACAGAGAGGAAGUGAUCUCCGCAAAGAGAGGGAGACAAGUGCGAUCCGGAAAAAUUAAGAAAACAUAAGCUUUUCUUACCAAAUUUCUGACCUAAAAUUUGGUAAGAAAUAUUUCCUACAAAAUUCCUACGAAAUUGUCACCAAAUAUAUAGUUCAAAGAAAAUUCGUAAGAAAUUUCCUACAAAACUAGUCGUCAG